This 498-nucleotide unclassified non-coding RNA is filed under the name Hevea brasiliensis (rubber tree). Lineage: Eukaryota; Viridiplantae; Streptophyta; Magnoliopsida; Malpighiales; Euphorbiaceae. The record is from RNAcentral.
AUUCCAUGGUGAACAAGCUGAGUAAUUGCAGUCAACGCAGUAGUCUCUUGGCCACCUCCUUGAGAGCCAGUACUGUAGAAAAGGCCCGCUGGCUUGCCUGCAAGCUGCUGAGUUCUCCAGAGACCACCAGUGGCAUCAAGAAAUGCCUUGAACUGAGCAGCCAUCAUCCCAAAUCUUGUUGGGAAUCCAAACACAAAGCCAUCAGCUUCAGCAAGGUCAUUGGGUGUGAUAAUUGGUGCAUCGCCUUUUGCUGGUCCACCCAUCUUUCCAAGAACCUCUUCUGAAAGAGUUUCUGGUACCUGCCAUAGUUUGGCUUCUACGCCUUCAACUGAUGCGGCUCCUUUCUUUAUCUCUUGUGCUAGCUUCUCAACAUGUCCAUACAUGGAGUAGUAAACAAUGUAGACUUUGGUUGCCAUUUGAAAGGGAAAGUAGUAGGUGGAUGAAUGAGUUGUUGUUGGAAUAGAAUAGAAAAGAAAGAGAAUGGAGAAGGAAGCAGAA